Tetranychus urticae (two-spotted spider mite) is the source of this 842-nucleotide long non-coding RNA. RefSeq lists it as uncharacterized. The record is from RefSeq and is a predicted model, not a curated record. NCBI's taxonomy places the organism in Eukaryota, Metazoa, Arthropoda, Arachnida, Trombidiformes, Tetranychidae.
AUAACGAAAGAAAGAGAAAGAGAAACUGAGGGAAAAAAGUGAAGAAUAUUCAUGAAGAAAAAUAACCGUUUUUAGCUUAUAACAUCUUCUAGAAGGGAAAAGUUAAACCCUUAAUUAUCAUUGAUAGAGCAUAUCUUCAAGAUUAUCAGUCGUCAAAUCAUCCGGACCAAGUCUGUCCUUCUGUGAAACUGUAAUAUGUCAGCAAAAAACAAAACUGUUUCCUAUUUUGUUCAUUUUUGUGAAUUUCCAUGCUUCCAUUAUUUUGUUUCUUCCUAAAAAUACUCAACUUUGACAUGUCAACCUGCUGCUUUUUCCUGUACCACCAUUGUUGAAAUUUAAUCAAUCAAUUGUUCAUCAUCUCCAGGCCUUCAGCUUUGGCUAUUCUCAUGUUUUUAACAUAAUUCAGAUAUUUCUCUCUAUGAUUAACGGAACCGGACAUUUCUCCAGCCAGCCACUCAAGCGAUACUGGACAUCACCAGAUGGCCAACAGUUAAUAUUAAAUGGGUGGACAACAUGAACUAUUAAAAUUUGGAGACACAAAAAAUUGUUGACACUUUCUGUUGACAACAAACUUCACUUUCCUUGAAGCUGGCGGGCGACAUGAAAAAAAACAGACUUGAGGUCAUGUAAUCUUGAGAUUAAUAUUAUUACUAUUAUUAUCUGAUCUUGAAUUACUAAAUCAAAUUCUGUUACUGUUGUAUCAAGUGUGUCUAUGAGAUAAAAAAAGUCUCACAGUUUCCAAUCAAUCCACGUUAAUUAAACAACCGCAAAGAUCUUGAUUAGGAUUGAUUGAAUCAAGUCGAGUGUUGGGGAACAACGUUGUUAAAUGAUCAGCAAAAACC